AGCCUGUGAUGAAUCGCUUUUUAUUUCUGACACCUCGUAUGAAAACUGCACGUGCAGUCUGAUUAUUUUGCAAAACUGAGGCUU
Molecule: small nucleolar RNA, 84 nt
Organism: Vulpes vulpes (red fox)
Lineage: Eukaryota; Metazoa; Chordata; Mammalia; Carnivora; Canidae
Product: small nucleolar RNA, C/D box 60
Source: Ensembl